CGGGCCGCGCGGCCGGAGCUGAAACCGAGGAGCGGCGGCCGCGGCGGCAUCGGGACCUGGGAACGCCAGCGCUCCGUUGGACACGGCGUCCCCGAGAGAGUCCGGGGCGCGCGGAUCUGCCUUCCGCGGUCCGGGGCUGCCCGGGGGGGUACGGCGUUCCCCGAGGGCGGGCGUGUCCGCUGCGCCGGGCGGGAGACGAGCGCGGGGCCGCAGCCUGUUGGAGCGCUGGGGGCGCCGGGCAGGGGGCGCGGGGUACCUCGCCGGGGACCAGGCGGCCCGGCUCCUUGUGCAGAGCAGUUUUCUCGAACUCUCCGCCUCUGUCUUGUUGGGGCCCACCGCUGCCAGGAGACCCCAUCCGGACCUGCCAAGAAAAGGAGUGUCAUGAAAAAGGAGCAGAAAGGAGACAUCACUGCUGGUGAAAGGGGAGUUUUCUUUCCCAGUUGGUGGUUACUUCAUGAUUGGAAGAGAAGUACCUAGGUGGCUGAAGAGAUGAGAUUUUCCUAGUUUUACCGAUGAAGCUGAUAAACGACGAUGGGAAAAUGCUUUCUCUGGGUCAUAAUGGGCUGAUGAGUAAGUAAGCCUGGAAAGACUGAUCUGAAAUGAGGGCAGGAAUUUUGAGUGUUUUAAAACCAAGUAGGACUUUGAACACUUGUUGAGGAUAUUUGUAUCUCAAAAAUGGAGGAAGAAAAAAUUCUCAAAGCAAGAAGUGUAAAAAGCUGAGAGGAGUAACAAUCUAGUCCUCUCCAAGAAUUUCAGUACUUCAUCAACUUCUCUGAGCACACACAAGCAAAGGCAUCAGGCAUCCUAUCCCAGGUGGUGGUAUCCUACGGCAGGAAUGACUUCUUAAGUUGGAUUAGGAGUGCUUUUUCUUUUUCACAAUGUGUGUUUUUUGACUCUUCACGUUAGGCAAAUUGAUGUCAAGGAAGUAAUAGUUUGACCUCUGUUUGCUGUGUGAUAUGGGAAAAUUAGAGGUUUUAACCUUCCUUGAAAUUUUAUUGGAAGCAAUACUGUGUCAGGGACACAGACCCACAGUGUAAGUUUUCUUUUUGGCAACUGUGCUUGCUUUGAAUGAGCCGAAUGUUAGCUGGAUUUCACAGUGUAUGUGAUUUACAGUCUUUGUUUUAUCAAGGCCUUAAAUGUAUGUUUUAUACUCGCCAGAUGGGAAACACAUUGAGCGUUGUGUGUGACACGUACGCCUAAGGA
This 1203-nucleotide long non-coding RNA is filed under the name Catagonus wagneri (Chacoan peccary). RNAcentral describes it as "lncRNA (ENSCWAG00000014540.1)". The record is from RNAcentral. Lineage: Eukaryota; Metazoa; Chordata; Mammalia; Artiodactyla; Tayassuidae.